GCGGUGGCUCAAUUGGUAGAGUAGCGGUCUCCAAAACCGACGGUUGGGGGUUCGAGUCCCUCUCGCC
Molecule: transfer RNA, 67 nt
Filed under: Schmidingerella taraikaensis
Lineage: Eukaryota; Ciliophora; Spirotrichea; Tintinnida; Rhabdonellidae
Also listed under: 1 other name
Rfam family: tRNA
About the family: Transfer RNA (tRNA) molecules are approximately 80 nucleotides in length. Their secondary structure includes four short double-helical elements and three loops (D, anti-codon, and T loops).
Source: RNAcentral